RNAcentral lists this ribosomal RNA (1333 nucleotides) under Patescibacteria group bacterium. Its description in RNAcentral is "partial 16S ribosomal RNA". It matches the Rfam family "Bacterial small subunit ribosomal RNA", at positions 1 to 480 of the family's 1533-position model. The record is from RNAcentral.
CUUAUUGAGAGUUUGAUCCUAGCUCAGGGUGAAUGCUGGCGGCGUGGAUAAGUCAUGCAAGUCAAGGGGACCUAGGCUUGUCCGCAAGGAUAGGUCCAAGGUAACCGGCAGACGAGGUAGUAACACGUAGGUACGUCCCCCGAAGUCGGGCAUAGCCAGCCGAAAGGUUGGGUAAUUCCCGAUAGUCCCGGAUACCAACUGUGUCAUGGUCUUGAACUCGCAAGGGUAAACCCGUACACCAACUCUGGCAUUGCGCCGGAGGCCGUCGUACGGGAAUCACAAGCGAGCGUGAGUGCCGAGAAAAUCGCGAUUGCAAGAGAGCAGUCGAGAUGCGGCGCAAACCAAGACGAUGCCAGAGUUGGUGUCCGGGUAAAGGUUUUUCGCUUCGGGAGCGGCCUGCGUAGUAUCAGCUAGUUGGUAGGGUAACGGCCUACCAAGGCUACGACGCUUAGGGGAGCUGAGAGGCUGACCCCCACCGAUGGAACUGCGAUAAAUUGUUGUCGCCUGGGGAGCAAUCCCCAGUAAAAAUCUUGCUCAUAACGGUGGAGCCUGACUGAUGGGUAUAUAAUUGUACCCAUCAAAGGUAAUACCGUGGGAAGUCAGCACUAUCUUUCAGACGAGUACUUAGCCGGGUUCUUGGACGGAGACGGGUCCGUUGUGGCGACGCUUGAGCGUUACCGCAGCAGACGCUUCCCGUACCGUGUGUGCAUCAAGGUGAAUUUCACCCAACAUGCGCGACACGUCGAUAAACUGAUGCUGAUGCAAGAAACGCUCGGAGGUUACGGAGUGGUCCGUACCAAUGCGCGGAAAAAUCUUGCGGAGCUGGUUAUUCAGAACCGAGGCGAAGUGCAGGCGGUGCUCGUGCGUCUCGUGCCGUUUCUUCUGAUAAAGAAAGACCAGGCAAACCUGGCUCUUGAGGUAUUGGAAGGAAUGAGCUCUAACGAGAAGCAUAAACCGAGCACGCUGUCUGAAAGAGCGUAUAUUCGUAUCCUGUCAUUAGUGCAGGACAUUCGCGGUCUGAACUCCCUUACGGGAGGGAAGCGCGAGAUACGAGUGUUUGACCCCGUAACGACUGGAAUUCCGGAGAACCCCGGAAUGAAGACGGAAUCUUUGGAUUCUGUAAGACGCAAGCCCCUCGCACGAACGGGGGUGAAAGUAUAGUCUGUGCCAUAAGAAAUUAUGGAAUGAAACGACGGUCCAUACUCCUACGGGAGGCUGCAGACGAGAAUAUUCCGCAAUGGACGAAAGUCUGACGGAGCGACGCCGCGUGAUGGAUGAAGUGCCUUGGUACGUAAACAUCUUUUAUCGGGGACGAAGUUUAUUGACGGUACCC